This 91-nucleotide small RNA is filed under the name Sinorhizobium meliloti 2011. RNAcentral describes it as "putative ncRNA". Lineage: Bacteria; Pseudomonadati; Pseudomonadota; Alphaproteobacteria; Hyphomicrobiales; Rhizobiaceae. The record is from RNAcentral.
AUCCCAGCCCCUCUCCAUCGUAGAAGGAGCAUAGGACGGGCGUAGAAGGAGCACAGGGAGGAACCCGCAUGUCCCUUCUCCCCGUCAGAAC